Molecule: ribosomal RNA, 25 nt
Filed under: Calamus deerratus
Lineage: Eukaryota; Viridiplantae; Streptophyta; Magnoliopsida; Arecales; Arecaceae
Description: partial 26S ribosomal RNA
Source: RNAcentral
AUGACCCCAGGUUAGGCGGGCCACC